This is a long non-coding RNA of Manihot esculenta (cassava), 4780 nucleotides long. RefSeq lists it as uncharacterized. Lineage: Eukaryota; Viridiplantae; Streptophyta; Magnoliopsida; Malpighiales; Euphorbiaceae. The record is from RefSeq and is a predicted model, not a curated record. The transcript is spliced from 2 exons.
UACGCAGUUUGUACCUAACAAAAUUGCUCUGCCCUACGGUCAUUACAAAACCCUUCCCACUGCGUUCCCCACACAACCCUUCCCACCGCGUUCCUCAGUCCACACCAAUGCCUCCUCUAAAGUUCAUCGCUCCCGCCGCGUGGCUUGUUCCCUGAGCGGGAUUGAUAAGUAUCGUUGCGCCGCUCUCCUUGGGCAGGUCAUCAUCUCCAGCAUCGCGUUCCCUGAGCAGGUCAGCGUCUCCAUAGCCGCAUGCUUCCCUUCGAUUUAGCCCUGAGCCUCCAUCAUCUACUGCUCUGUCUCAGGUUGUAGAUAAAGUAGACAUAGCGGAGGUCAUCAGAGGGGUGUACAUCGGACAUUAAGGUUAUUAUCAUAACUGGUUGUUUUAAGUCUCCGAAUCAUAGUACAAUUUUAUUUUGGCAUGUACAUAUUAAAUAGAGUGGAUUAUGAAGGUUAUGUAAAUUAAAUAAUGUAAUUAUGUAUGCAUAAAGAAAAAGAGUUAAGCGUUUGCAUGAGAUGAUAUCCAUGGAAAAAUAAGUGGUGAUGUUAUGAAAUGUGUGCUAAAUUAAAGAAUAGUAAAAUAUUAAAUGACAGUUGAUGGUAUAAUUAUAAGUGUGAUUUUCAUAUGUAUUAUAGGUUAAAAUGCUAAUGAAACAGAGAAAACUCUGCCAAAAUUUUGGUUUAAAAUCUCACAUUUACUUUAAUCACUGUAUGAAAUUUACUUGAACUAUUUAAUAACUUAGUAAUUACAUAUAAAGAAAAUUGUUUAAUUUUGAUAUAUCUAAAAAGAUAUAGUUUGUGAUGGUUCUUGCUCUGUCUACUCUUUGAUAGGGUAAGGAGCGUAACAAUUAGUGGUAUCAAAGUAAAGGUUUAGGCGAUUCAAGGUGAUAGUAUAUAUAUGUAUAUGUGUAGUAUAUGUACAUGCCAAAAUGAGUUACAACUAUGAUGUGGUUCUGAUGCAGAUAUCUUCUUUGUGUCUUUAUGUUUGAUAGAAGAUGUCAUCUAAGUCACAAAGAGCAGUAAAUGAAGAGGUAGAUAGUCAUGCUCCCUCUGAGGCAGCUGCACCUGCUGCUGCUCCUCCACCUGCUGCUGCUGCUGGCGAACUAGGGCAUGAUGCAUUAUUUCAGCAAAUAGCUGAGUUGCUUAGGAGGGUUACACAAAAAUGUGUCAAAAGUACCACCACCACCACCUAUAGUAGUCCUUGUUCCCCUACCUGGUGUAGCCCAGGCACAAUCUAAGCCUCCAAUAGAAAAACUCAGAAAGUAUGGUGCUAUAGAGUUUAGAGGUAAAAAGGAAAAUGAUUCUUUAGCUGCAGAAUUCUGGUUAGAAAGUACAGAAAGGGUUUUACAGCAGCUACAGUCAAAUAGUUGAGUUGCUUAGGAGGGUUAUACAAAAUGUACCAGAGGUAUCACCACCACCUGUUGUAGUCUAGGUUCCCUCAUCUGUUGUAGCCCAGACACAAUCUAGGCCUCCAAUUGAAAAAUUUAGAAAGUAUGGUGCUAUAGAGUUUGGAGGUAAAAAGGAAGAUGAUCCUGCAGCUGCAGAAUUCUGGUUAGAAAGUACAGAAAGGGUUUUACAGUAAUAGUGUUUACCAGUAGAAAGUUUAAUGUGUACAAUAUCACUACUAAAAGAUGAAGCUUAUAGAUGGUGGACAACAUUAAUACAGACAGAUCGACCAAAGCAAUAAACUUGGAAAUUCUUUUUGACAGAGUUUAAGAAGAAAUACGUUGGGGCGUUAUAUAUGGAGGAGAGAAGGAGGGAGUUCUUAUAUCUCAGACAAUGCAGGCUUACAAUAACUGAGUAUGAGCGAGAAUUCUGCAGAUUUAGUAAGUGUGCUACAAAGAUAGUUCCUACAGAGGAAUAAAAAUGUACACGUUUUGAGCAAGGAUUACAUGUUGAUAUCAGGAUGUACUUCACAGCUAUGCACAUUAGGGAACUUUCAGUUUUAGUGGAGACGGUCCACAGUUUGGAGCGAAUUAAAGAAGAAGAGCAAAGUAGAAAGCAGAAAGGGCAGCGGAAGAGAGGCCAAAGCCAGUAUCAGGGACAAUCCUCUGCAUCUCAGACAACUAGCAAGAGACAGAGGGAUUUUCAGCAGAUAGGGCAAAGAGGGCCACCUAGGCAGAGUCAAAGACCUGGGCAUAGUUCAGUAAUGAGGCCUAGACAGUAGGUUACCUCGGUAUCUAGUACAAGAAGACCGGGUAGAGAAUUGCCACCAGUAUGUGAGCAUUGUGGCAGGAGACAUGGCAGAGCAUGCAGGAGAUUAACUGGGGAUUGCUACUUAUGUGAAAGCACAGAUCACUUUAUGAGUGAUUGUCCUAGAGGCCGGUCAGUGUUGUCUAUGCAGACAGAGAGAUCUAUGCCGACAGAGCCUAGAGGCAGGGGUAGAGGUGAAUCUAGUAAUGUUCAGAAUCAUUGAGUAUCAGAGAUAGUAGACAGACCAGACACUAGAGCACUUGCCAGGACAUAUACUAUUCGUGCAAAGGAAGACCAAGACAAACUAGAUGUUAUAACUAGUAAAUUUUUCCAUCUUUAGUAAAUAUGUUAAUGCAUUAAUUGAUUUUGAUUCUACACAUUCAUACAUCUACAUAUCCAUCACUAAUGAGAAGGGAAUUCAGGUAGAACCUUUAGAACAUGAUAUAGCAAUGACCAAUCCCUUAGAACAUCUUGGAUUUGCACACAUAUAGGAGAAUCUUUGUAAACUCUAUUGACAAUCACAAGAUGUCUUAAGAGAUUGGUCACUACUAUGUCAUGUUCUAAAGAUUCUACCUGAAUUCCCUUCUCAUCAAUGAUGGGUAUGCUGAUGUAUGAAUGUGUAGAACCAGGAUCAAUUAAUGCAUAAACAUAAUUACCAAAGAUGGAAAAUUUAUCAGUUAUAACAUCUAGUUUGUCCUGGUCUUCCAUUGCAUGAAUAACAUAUGCCCUGGCAGGUGCUCUAGUGUCUGGUCUGUCUACUAUCUCUGAUACUCAGUAACUCUAAACAUUACUAUAUUCACCUCUACCCCUGCCCCUAGGCCCUGUCGGCAUAGAUCUAUCUGUCUGCAUAGACAAUAAUGACCGGCCUCUAGGACAAUCCCUCAUAAAGUGAUCUGUGCUUUCACAUAAGUAGCAAUCCCCAGUUAAUCUCCUGCAUGCUCCGCCAUGUCUCCUGCCACAAUGCUCACAUACUGGUGGCAAUUCUCUACUUGGUCCUCUUGUACUAGAUAUUGAGAUAAUUUGCUGUCCAGGCCUCAUUACUGAACUUUGCCCAGGUCUUUGACUCUGCCUAGGUGGCCCUCUUUGCCCUUUCUGCUAAAAAUCCCUCUGUCUCUUGCUAGUUGUCUGAGAUGCAGAGGAUUGUCCCUGAUACUGGCUUUGGCCCUUCUUCUACUGCCUUUCUGCUUUCUACUUUGCUCUUCUUCUUUAAUUCGCUCCAAACUGUGGGCUGUCUCCACUAAAACUGAAAGUUCCUAAUGUGCAUAGCUGUGAGGUACAUCCUGAUAUCAGCAUGUAAUCCUUGCUCGAAACGUGUACAUUUUUCUUCCUCUGUAGGAACUAUCUCUGUAGCACACUUACUAAGUCUGCAGAAUUCUCGCUCAUACUCAGUUAUUGUAAGCCUGUACUGUCUGAGAUAUAAGAACUCCCUCCUUCUCUCCUCUAUAUAUAAGGCCCCAACGUAUUUCUUCUUAAACUCUGUCAAAAAGAAUUUCCAAGUUUGCUGCUCUGGUCGAACUGUCUGUAUUAAUGUUGUCUACCUCUAUAGGUUUCAUCUUUUAGUAGUGAUAUUGCACACAUUAAACUUUCUACUGGUAAACACUAUAACUGCUGUAAAACCCUUUCUGUACUUUCUAACCAGAAUUCUGCAGCUGCAGGAUCAUCUUCCUUUUUACCUCUAAACUCUAUAGCACCAUACUUUCUAAAUUUUUCAAUUGGAGGCUUAGAUUGUGUCUGGGAUACAACAGAUGGGCGAACCUAGACUACAACAGGUGGUGGUGGUACCUCUGGAACAUUUUGUAUAACCCUUCUAAGCAACUCAACUAUUUGACUGUAGCUGCUGUAAAACCCUUUCUGUACUUUCUAACCAGAAUUUUGCAGCUAAAGAAUCAUUUUCCUUUUUAUCUCUAAACUCUGUGGCACCAUACUUCCUGAGUUUUUCUAUUGGAGGCCUAGAUUGUGCCUGGGCUACACCAGGUAGGGGAACAAGGACUGCUAUAGGUGGUGGUGGUGGUACCUUUGGCACAUUUUUGUGUAACCCUCUUAAGCAACUCAGCUAUUUGCUGAAAUAAUGCAUCCUGUCCUGGUUCGCCAGCAGCAGCAGGUGGAGGAGCAGCAGCAGGUGCAGCUGCCUCAGAGGGAGCAUGACUCUCUACCUCUUCAUCUACUGCUCUUUGUGACUUAGAUGACAUCUUCUAUCAGACAUAAAGACACAAAGAAGAUAUCUGCAUCAGAACCACAUCAUAACUGUAACUCAUUUUGACAUGUACAUAUAUUACACAUAUACAUAUAUAUACUAUCACCUAGAAUCGCCUAAACCUUUAUUUUGAUACCACUAAUUGUUACGCUCCUUACCCUAUCAAAGUGUAGACAGAGCAAGAACCGUCACAAACUAUAUCUUUUUAGAUAUAUCAAAACUAAACAAUUUCCUUUAUAUGUAAUUACUAAGUUAUUAGGUAGUUCAAGUAAAUUUCAUAAAGUGAUUAAAGUAAAUGUGAGAUUUUAAACCAAAAUUUUGGCAGAGUUUUCUCUGUUUCAUUAGCAUUUUAACCUAUAAUACAUAUGAAAAUCACACUUAUAAUUAUACCAUCAA